UGUGUCAUAACUCAGGGAAGGUACAGAAAGUACAGCGUGUGACGGGGGAACUCGCUGAUGGAGUGGCUUCCCAGCUCAGCAGUGUGGCCACUGUCUUCAUAGCCUUACACAAGAGUCAGUAUUUCUCCUCAAAAGAAAUAAGGCCACCCCCAGUACUGACCUCGCAGGAGCCAGAUGUGCCUUCGAAAGCCUCCUCUGUAGCAUUAUUGCUAAACCUGCUUCUAAAUGGAAGGAAUGGAGAGGAAACCCAGCUAUUCCCACCCACAAAAAGGACCAAUUCCGCUAAUUGGGAUCCUCGCUUAGGAGGAGGAGGUGGCACUUUUCUCUCAGCCCAGGCUUCGGUGCUUCCCAGGCACCUGGAGGGAUGUUUCAAGGCUCAUUUGGAGUACAGAGGGG
This is a long non-coding RNA of Calidris pugnax (ruff), 396 nucleotides long. RefSeq lists it as uncharacterized. The record is from RefSeq and is a predicted model, not a curated record. The transcript is spliced from 3 exons. Lineage: Eukaryota; Metazoa; Chordata; Aves; Charadriiformes; Scolopacidae.